Long non-coding RNA from Dermacentor silvarum, 437 nucleotides. RefSeq lists it as uncharacterized. The transcript has 3 exons. Lineage: Eukaryota; Metazoa; Arthropoda; Arachnida; Ixodida; Ixodidae. The record is from RefSeq and is a predicted model, not a curated record.
UGGUGCAGCGGCUGUCCCCGCCCUGAAAACCGAGUUUGGUGUCGAGCCACUCUGGAAUAUAUGGAGGCGCCGGAGGACCAGUGGAAGGUGUCAUCCAGAUGACAGCCUCACAAUUCGCAGCCUUUGUGCUCUCCAUCAGAAAACCAUCAGGGGCAAGCCACUUAUGUUUGCCUUCAGACAAGACAACAUUGAAGCAUGAUUCCAGCACAGCCAUCUCCUGCACUUAUGGUCAAGAUGCUCAGACAAUGGAGUCCCUGUUCCUUGUGGUUAACCGUGAACAGUAUUCUCGCUUUUAUGAAAGCUAAAGGUGAUUUCCUGCAUAAAUUAGGAUUUUGCAGCUCAAAUGUAUACACUUUAUUCUAGUUUGAAGUAACUAAUAUAUGCUGUUUAAUACUUUUAUACUGUUUGAUACAAUCAUUUCUUGUUGGAAAAUAUUA